Molecule: ribosomal RNA, 650 nt
Filed under: Bunodera sp. VT-2007a
Lineage: Eukaryota; Metazoa; Platyhelminthes; Trematoda; Plagiorchiida; Allocreadiidae
Description: eukaryotic LSU rRNA
Rfam family: Eukaryotic large subunit ribosomal RNA
Source: RNAcentral
UUGUUUGGGAAUGCAGCCCAAAGCGGGUGGUAAACUCCAUCCAAGGCUAAAUACAAGCACGAGUCCGAUAGCGAACAAGUACCGUGAGGGAAAGUUGAAAAGUACUUUGAAGAGAGAGUAAACAGUGCGUGAAACCGCUUAGAGGUAAACGGGUGGAGUUGAACUGCAAUCUCUGAGAAUUCAGCUGGGGAAUUUUGCUUGAGCUUGGUCAAUUGGGCAGGGCCUCGAGGUAUGCUUAUCUGCAUGUUCUGAUCUUCGGAUCGGGAUGCGCGUUGCUCUUAUCAAGGGCUGUGCGCCUUGGGUGUCCGGCUGGCUCAUUCGCCAGUGCACUUUCUUGGAGUGAUCACCACGACCGGCGCUGCUGCUGGGCUGUUAUAGUUAAACCGGGCAUUCUUCGUCCUUGUGGCGUUGGGUGUUCGACACGGCAGGUAACUGGGUUCUUGCUUCGGCUUGUUUCUUGGUGUAUGCUGGCUUUAACGGUUCCAUGUGGUGUGUCGGAGACGGCGGCUUGUGGUGUGUGCAUGCGUGUCUAUCUGUUGGGGCAUUCUAGUUUGGUAGCUGUGUGCUUGUUCAAGCAGGCCCAGUUAUGGCUGGAGUGUGUCAGUGGGUGGUUGCGUGUGUGACACUUUUCAGGGCCAAUAGUCUGUGGU